Molecule: non-coding RNA, 130 nt
Organism: Paramuricea clavata
Lineage: Eukaryota; Metazoa; Cnidaria; Anthozoa; Malacalcyonacea; Plexauridae
Source: the annotation of a GenBank genome assembly
UGUACUCAGGUGAAUAAUAUGUUUGCGAUGUUACUCUUAUGCCCACCGUGCCUGGGCAUGUUUUUCAAGCUCGCCCGGUGUGGAUAUGCACUCAGAGUAACAUCGCAAACAUAUUAUUCACCUGAGUACA